UCCCCGAAAUAGCUUUAGGGCUAGCCUCAAGGUGAGAGAUACGGAGGUAGAGCACUGAAUGUCCUAGGGGGUAUUGCACCUACCGAAGACUAUCAAACUCCGAAUGCCGUCAUCUUAUACUUGGGAGGCAGACUGUGGGUGAUAAGAUUCAUAGUCGAAAGGGCAACAGCCCAGAUCGUCAGCUAAGGUCCCUAAAUGUAAGUUAAGUGGUAAAGGAUGUGGGAUUGCACAGACAACCAGGAUGUUGGCUUAGAAGCAGCCACUCAUUCAAAGAGUGCGUAAUAGCUCACUGGUCGAGUGAUCC
Molecule: ribosomal RNA, 304 nt
Filed under: Clostridioides difficile
Lineage: Bacteria; Bacillati; Bacillota; Clostridia; Peptostreptococcales; Peptostreptococcaceae
Description: bacterial LSU rRNA
Rfam family: Bacterial large subunit ribosomal RNA
Source: RNAcentral